Pelobates cultripes (western spadefoot toad) is the source of this 207-nucleotide non-coding RNA. NCBI's taxonomy places the organism in Eukaryota, Metazoa, Chordata, Amphibia, Anura, Pelobatidae. The record is from the annotation of a GenBank genome assembly.
CUGGAUAGUAAACACAAUGAAUGCGCUUUUGUGCCGUUUGAAUACUUAACUUUUAAUUUAAACUGUUUGUUCCUCUUUCUUUUCGAGAGAGAGAAAUGUAAUAUAUUUUGAACUCACUGAACAAUUUACAAAGACAAGUAACAGUAAUAUUCACUGUACUAGUAUAUAACUAUAUGUACACCAUUUAACAAGCCAGCAUCACCCUGC